This 207-nucleotide ribosomal RNA is filed under the name uncultured Acidobacteriota bacterium. RNAcentral describes it as "uncultured Acidobacteria bacterium partial 16S ribosomal RNA". It matches the Rfam family "Bacterial small subunit ribosomal RNA", at positions 568 to 774 of the family's 1533-position model. Lineage: Bacteria; Pseudomonadati; Acidobacteriota. The record is from RNAcentral.
UAUGUAGGCGGUUCUCCAAGUCUGGUGUGAAAUCUCCCGGCUCAACCGGGAGGGUGCAUUGGAAACUGGGGGGCUGGAGUGCGGGAGAGGGAAGCGGAAUUCCUGGUGUAGCGGUGAAAUGCGUAGAUAUCAGGAGGAACACCCGCGGUGUAGACGGCUUCCUGGACCGUAACUGACGCUGAGAUACGAAAGCGUGGGGAGCAAACA